GGGGCUUUAGUGCGCAGCCGUAGGUUGCCAGGCAACCAUGUAGAGACGCUUUACAAACGGUCGAAUCAAAUAUAAGAGACAAACAAAGAAGUGCAGGCCGUGUUUAUGAGGUCAUGCGGACCCUACGCCCGACGGACCGUGAAGACCUGACUCCCAUUUAGCUUGGUAUUUUUAGGAUUCCGUGCUCAAAGGGGGAGAGAAGAACCCUG
This 209-nucleotide unclassified non-coding RNA is filed under the name Melitaea cinxia (Glanville fritillary). RNAcentral's name for it is "misc RNA ENSMCXG00005009670.1". Lineage: Eukaryota; Metazoa; Arthropoda; Insecta; Lepidoptera; Nymphalidae. The record is from RNAcentral.